RNAcentral lists this long non-coding RNA (279 nucleotides) under Mytilus galloprovincialis (Mediterranean mussel). Lineage: Eukaryota; Metazoa; Mollusca; Bivalvia; Mytilida; Mytilidae. The record is from RNAcentral.
GUUCUGAUGUUGUACUGUUAUACCACUGUCCCAGGUUAGGGGGAGGGUUGCGAUCCCGCUAACAUGUUUAACCCCGCCACAUUAUUUAUGUAUGUGCCUGUCCCCAGUCAGGAGCCUGUAAUUCAGUGGUUGUCGUUUGUUUAUGUGUUCCAUAUUUGUUUUUCGUUCAUUUUUUUAUAUAUAUAUCAAUAAGGCCGUUAGUUUUCUCGUUUGAAUUGUCUACAUUGUCUUAUCGGGGCCUUUUAUAGCUGACUAUGCGAUAUGGGCUUUGCUAAUAGU